UUGUAGCCUGCUAUGGUAUAACUUAGUGGCAGACGGGUGAGUAAUAUAUAGGAAUCUACCUAGUAGUACGGAAUAAUUGUUGGAAACGGCAACUAAUACCGUAUAAGCCCUACGGGGGAAAAAUUUAUUGCUAUUAGAUGAGCCUAUAUUAGAUUAGCUAGUUGGUGGAGUAAUAGCCUACCAAGGCAAUGAUCUAUAGCUGAUCUGAGAGGAUGAUCAGCCACACUGGAACUGAGAUACGGUCCAGACUCCUACGGGAGGCAGCAGUGGGGAAUAUUGGACAAUGGGCGAAAGCCUGAUCCAGCCAUGCCGCAUGAGUGAAGAAGGCCUUUGGGUUGUAAAGCUCUUUUAGUGAGGAAGAUAAUGACGGUACUCACAGAAGAAGUCCUGGCUAACUCCGUGCCAGCAGCCGCGGUAAUACGGAGAGGGCUAGCGUUAUUCGGGAUUAUUGGGCGUAAAGGGCGCGUAGGCUGGUUAGUAAGUUAAAAGUGAAAUCCCGAGGCUUAACCUUGGAACUGCUUUUAAAACUGCUAACCUAGAGAUUGAAAGAGGAUAGAGGAAUUCCUAGUGUAGAGGUGAAAUUCGUAAAUAUUAGGAGGAACACCAGUGGCGAAGGCGUCUAUCUGGUUCAAAUCUGACGCUGAGGCGCGAAGGCGUGGGGAGCAAACAGGAUUAGAUACCCUGGUAGUCCACGCUGUAAACGAUGAAUGUUAAAUAUGGGAAGUUUACUUUCUGUAUUACAGCUAACGCGUUAAACAUUCCGCCUGGGGACUACGGUCGCAAGAUUAAAACUCAAAGGAAUUGACGGGGACCCGCACAAGCGGUGGAGCAUGUGGUUUAAUUCGAUGCAACCCGAAAAACCUUACCACUCCUUGACAUGGAAAUCAUACCUAUUC
This 896-nucleotide ribosomal RNA is filed under the name Wolbachia endosymbiont of Cacoxenus indagator. Its description in RNAcentral is "bacterial SSU rRNA". It matches the Rfam family "Bacterial small subunit ribosomal RNA", at positions 73 to 1002 of the family's 1533-position model. Lineage: Bacteria; Pseudomonadati; Pseudomonadota; Alphaproteobacteria; Rickettsiales; Anaplasmataceae. The record is from RNAcentral.